RNAcentral lists this ribosomal RNA (432 nucleotides) under uncultured bacterium. RNAcentral's name for it is "bacterial SSU rRNA". It matches the Rfam family "Bacterial small subunit ribosomal RNA", at positions 354 to 796 of the family's 1533-position model. The record is from RNAcentral.
GUGGGGAAUAUUGCACAAUGGGCGAAAGCCUGAUGCAGCAACGCCGCGUGCGGGAUGACGGCCUUCGGGUUGUAAACCGCUUUUGUCAGGGAAGAAGCCGCAAGGUGACGGUACCUGGAGAAAAAGGACCGGCUAACUACGUGCCAGCAGCCGCGGUAAUACGUAGGGUCCGAGCGUUGUCCGGAAUUAUUGGGCGUAAAGAGCUCGUAGGCGGUUUGUCGCGUCUGCUGUGAAAACGCGAGGCUCAACCUCGCGCCUGCAGUGGGUACGGGCAGACUUGAGUGGUGUAGGGGAGACUGGAAUUCCUGGUGUAGCGGUGGAAUGCGCAGAUAUCAGGAGGAACACCGAUGGCGAAGGCAGGUCUCUGGGCACUUACUGACGCUGAGGAGCGAAAGCGUGGGGAGCGAACAGGAUUAGAAACCCUAGUAGUCC